This 292-nucleotide ribosomal RNA is filed under the name uncultured bacterium. RNAcentral describes it as "partial 16S ribosomal RNA". It matches the Rfam family "Bacterial small subunit ribosomal RNA", at positions 505 to 796 of the family's 1533-position model. The record is from RNAcentral.
GUGCCAGCCGCCGCGGUAAUACAGAGGUCCCAAGCGUUGUUCGGAUUCACUGGGCGUAAAGGGUGCGUAGGUGGUGAGGUAAGUUGGGUGUGAAAGCUCAGGGCUCAACCCUGAAACGGCAUUCAAAACUACCUUGCUGGAGGGUCGGAAGGGAGACUGGAAUUCUCGGUGUAGCGGUGAAAUGCGUAGAGAUCGAGAGGAACACCAGUGGCGAAAGCGAGUCUCUGGACGACUCCUGACACUGAGGCACGAAAGCUAGGGGAGCAAACAGGAUUAGAAACCCCCGUAGUCC